Ictidomys tridecemlineatus (thirteen-lined ground squirrel) is the source of this 106-nucleotide small nuclear RNA. Lineage: Eukaryota; Metazoa; Chordata; Mammalia; Rodentia; Sciuridae. The record is from Ensembl.
GUGCUUGCUUCACAGCAUGCAUACUAAACCGGGAAGGAUACAGAGAAGAUUAGCAUGGCUCCUGAGAAGGGAUGACACGCAAAUUCAUGAAGUGUUUCAUAUUAAA